RNAcentral lists this ribosomal RNA (680 nucleotides) under uncultured bacterium. RNAcentral's name for it is "bacterial SSU rRNA". It matches the Rfam family "Bacterial small subunit ribosomal RNA", at positions 56 to 725 of the family's 1533-position model. The record is from RNAcentral.
UGCAAGUCGAGGGGCAGCGGGAUUGAAGCUUGCUUCAAUUGCCGGCGACCGGCGCACGGGUGAGUAACGCGUAUCCAACCUUCCGUACACUCAGGGAUAGCCUUUCGAAAGAAAGAUUAAUACCUGAUGGUAUCUUAAGCACACAUGUAAUUAAGAUUAAAGAUUCACCGGUGUACGAUGGGGAUGCGUUCCAUUAGGUAGUAGGCGGGGUAACGGCCCACCUAGCCUACGAUGGAUAGGGGUUCUGAGAGGAAGGUCCCCCACAUUGGAACUGAGACACGGUCCAAACUCCUACGGGAGGCAGCAGUGAGGAAUAUUGGUCAAUGGACGAGAGUCUGAACCAGCCAAGUAGCGUGAAGGAUGAAGGUCCUACGGAUUGUAAACUUCUUUUAUAAGGGAAUAAACCCUCCCACGUGUGGGAGCUUGUAUGUACCUUAUGAAUAAGCAUCGGCUAACUCCGUGCCAGCAGCCGCGGUAAUACGGAGGAUGCGAGCGUUAUCCGGAUUUAUUGGGUUUAAAGGGAGCGCAGACGGGUCGUUAAGUCAGCUGUGAAAGUUUGGGGCUCAACCUUAAAAUUGCAGUUGAUACUGGCGUCCUUGAGUGCGGUUGAGGUGUGCGGAAUUCGUGGUGUAGCGGUGAAAUGCUUAGAUAUCACGAAGAACUCCGAUUGCGAAGGCAGC